RNAcentral lists this ribosomal RNA (1697 nucleotides) under human gut metagenome. Its description in RNAcentral is "bacterial LSU rRNA". It matches the Rfam family "Bacterial large subunit ribosomal RNA", at positions 502 to 2284 of the family's 2925-position model. The record is from RNAcentral.
UGUGAAGGAAAGGUGAAAAGCACCCCGGGAGGGGAGUGAAAGAGAACCUGAAACCCUGUGCUUACAAGCACUUAGAGCACGUCAAAGUGUGAUAAGGUACCUAUUGUAGAAUGGUCCGGCGAGUUAUUGUAUGCAGCGAGGUUAAGUAGUUCAGCUACGGAGCCGAAGUGAGAGCGAGUGUUAACAGCACGUUCAGUUGCAUGCAAUAGACCCGAAACCGGGUGACCUAUCCAUGUCCAGGAUGAAGUGAGGGUAAAACCUCAUGGAGGUCCGAACCCACUCCCGUUGAAAUGGUAGGGGAUGAGGUGUGGAUAGCGGAGAAAUUCCAAUCGAACCCGGAUAUAGCUGGUUCUCCCCGAAAUAGUUUUAGGACUAGCCUCGUGAUUAAGAUUAUCGGAGGUAAAGCACUGAAUGGCCUAGGGGUCGAGAGAUUACCGAAGCCUAUCAAACUCUGAAUGCCGAAUAAUCAUGCACGGGAGUCAGACUGUGUGAGAUAAGUUUCAUAGUCGAAAGGGAAACAGCCCAGACCUACAGCUAAGGUCCCAAAGUACGUUUAAGUGGAAAACGAUGUGAAAUUGCGUAGACAACCAGGAUGUUGGCUUAGAAGCAGCCAUACAUUAAAAGAGUGCGUAAUAGCUCACUGGUCGAGUGACUUUGCGCGGAAAAUUUAACGGGGCUAAAACGUACACCGAAGCUUAGGCUUGUCACAAUGUGACAGGGGUAGGGGAGCGUUGAAUGAGGGGUGAAGUCGUAGCGAAAGCGACGGUGGACUUCAUUCAAGUGAGAAUGCCGGAAUGAGUAGCGAGAAUUAUGUGAGAAUCAUAAUGGCCGAAAGCCUAAGGUUUUUGGAGGAAGGUUCGUCCGCUCCAAGUAAGUCGGAAGCUAAGGUGAGGCUGAAAAGCGUAGCCGAUGCACAAACGGUUGAAAUUCCGUUACCACAGAAAGAUUUAAACUAAGGGACACUUUUGAAGAGCUGAUGCCGGGUGUUGGUUACCCCGGUCGUAAGGGAACGAAAUUAAGUAGUGAAGUCAGCGUGGAUGAAGGCGAGAAAAGCUUAGUGUAUAUCUUAUGUGUCCGUACCGCAAACCGACACAGGUAGGUAGGAAGAGAAUUCUAAGGCCAACGGGAGAAGGGUAGUUAAGGAACUCGGCAAAAUGUCCCCGUAACUUCGGAAUAAGGGGAGGUUUCUACGGAAACCCGCAGAGAAUAGUCCCAGGCAACUGUUUAUCAAAAACACAGCUCUAUGCUAAAUCGAAAGAUGACGUAUAUGGGGUGACGCCUGCCCGGUGCCGGAAGGUUAAGAGGAGGAGUGAGAGCCCUGAAUCGAAGCCCCGGUAAACGGCGGCCGUAACUAUAACGGUCCUAAGGUAGCGAAAUUCCUUGUCAGGUAAGUUCUGACCCGCACGAAUGGCGUAAUGAUCUGGGAGCUGUCUCAACUGCCCGCCCGGCGAAAUUGUAGUACCGGUGAAGAUGCCGGUUACCCGCGACUAGACGGAAAGACCCCAUGGAGCUUUACUGUAGCUUAAUAUUGGAUUUCGGCAUUUCAUGUACAGGAUAGGUGGGAGACUAGGAAACAUAGGCGUCAGCUUAUGCGGAGUCGUCCUUGGGAUACCACUCUUGGAGUGCUGAAAUUCUAACCUGCAGCCCUGAAUCGGGUUGGGGGACAUUGUUAGGUGGGCAGUUUGACUGGGGCGGUC